UACGUAGGGUGCAAGCGUUGUCCGGAAUUAUUGGGCGUAAAGAGCUCGUAGGCGGUCUGUUGCGUCGGCUGUGAAAACCCGGGGCUCAACCCCGGGCCUGCAGCCGAUACGGGCAGACUAGAGUUCGGCAGGGGAGACUGGAAUUCCUGGUGUAGCGGUGAAUGCGCAGAUAUCAGGAGGAACACCGGUGGCGAAGGCGGGUCUCUGGGCCGAUACUGACGCUGAGGAGCGAAAGCGUGGGGAGCGAACAGG
RNAcentral lists this ribosomal RNA (252 nucleotides) under uncultured bacterium. RNAcentral's name for it is "partial 16S ribosomal RNA". It matches the Rfam family "Bacterial small subunit ribosomal RNA", at positions 524 to 776 of the family's 1533-position model. The record is from RNAcentral.